This 253-nucleotide ribosomal RNA is filed under the name uncultured bacterium. Its description in RNAcentral is "partial 16S ribosomal RNA". It matches the Rfam family "Bacterial small subunit ribosomal RNA", at positions 524 to 776 of the family's 1533-position model. The record is from RNAcentral.
UACGUAGGGUGCGAGCGUUGUCCGGAAUUACUGGGCGUAAAGAGCUCGUAGGUGGUUUGUCGCGUUGUUCGUGAAAACUCACGGCUUAACUGUGAGCGUGCGGGCGAUACGGGCAGACUAGAGUACUGCAGGGGAGACUGGAAUUCCUGGUGUAGCGGUGGAAUGCGCAUAUAUCAGGAGGAACACCGGUGGCGAAGGCGGGUCUCUGGGCAGUAACUGACGCUGAGGAGCGAAAGCGUGGGGAGCGAACAGG